RNAcentral lists this long non-coding RNA (849 nucleotides) under Setaria viridis. RNAcentral's name for it is "long non-coding RNA (SVIR_LNC009933)". Lineage: Eukaryota; Viridiplantae; Streptophyta; Magnoliopsida; Poales; Poaceae. The record is from RNAcentral.
CUACAUCAGGAUUGCAGGCCACAAGUUCACGGUGGUCGCUGCCGACGCAAACUAUGUCAGCCCCCUCACCACAGACCUCCUCGCAGUCGCGCCUGGCCAGACGUUGGAUGCCUUGGUGGUCGCCAACGCCGCCCCAGGCAGGUACUACAUGGUCGCUUCGCCCAACCAGCCUCCUAAGCCCGAUUUCCAGCACCCAACGUUCACCACGAGAGGCAUAGUUCAGUAUACCAACGAGAACCAUAGCAAUGGAGGUAGCUCAGGUCCAGGAGCCGAAGGACCUCUAUCCCGGAAUCUUCCAGUAGUGGCACCUGAGAUGCCGGAUGAACACGACACGAUGACAUCGUACUACUUCCACGGCAAACUAACCGCCCUGCAUCCCUCACGGUCCCUGCCGGUGCCGGCACGGGUCGAUGAGCACCUGCUCAUCGCGCUUGGCCUGGGCUCCGUGUGCAAGAAGCGAGGCCAGUCUUGCAAGAGGGGGGAGAGCGAGGAGACAUUGACCCUGGCAACCAUGAACAACAUCUCCUUCGAGCUUCCUGCGGCUACGGCGGCGGGACCGCUCCUAGAAGCGCACUAUUACAACACCGGAAGCUUGGACAUGCUGCGAGAGCUUCCCGACCGACCACCGAGGAUGUACAACUUCACCGACCCCUCGUUCAUACCAUCAGGACCCCGGGAGGCAAGCCUAGAGGCGACGUCGAAGGCGACGAUCGUGCGUCGGUUCCGGCAUGGCACCGUGGUGGAGGUGGUGUUCCAAAGCACGGCGAUGUGGCAGAGUGACUCCAACCCGAUGCACUUGCACGGGCACGACAUGUUCGUGCUCGCGCAAGGGCUCGGCAACUACAAUGC